This 325-nucleotide ribosomal RNA is filed under the name uncultured methanogenic archaeon. Its description in RNAcentral is "bacterial SSU rRNA". It matches the Rfam family "Archaeal small subunit ribosomal RNA", at positions 321 to 646 of the family's 1478-position model. The record is from RNAcentral. Lineage: Archaea; Methanobacteriati; Methanobacteriota.
CCCUACGGGNNUGCAGCAGGCGCGAAAACUUUACAAUGCGGGAAACCGUGAUAAGGGGACACCGAGUGCCAGCAUCAUAUGGUGGCUCUCCGGGUGUGUAAAAUACACCUGUUAGCAAGGGCCGGGCAAGAACGGAGCCAGCCGCCGCGGUAACACCGGCGGCCCGAGUGGUGAUCGUGAUUAUUGGGUCUAAAGGGUCCGUAGCCGGUUUGGUCAGUCCUCCGGGAAAUCUGACGGCUCAACCGUAGGCUUUCCGAGGAUACUGCCAGACUUGGAACCGGGAGAGGUAAGAGGUACUACAGGGGUAGGAGUGAAUCCCUGUAAU